UCGUCUUUUGGUCUCAUUGGAUAUUAUGACUCUGACUAUGCCGGUGAUCGAGUGGAUCGCAAGUCAACAUCAGGCACAUGCCAUUUCCUCGGACGAUCCUUGGUAUGUUGGUCCUCGAAGAAGCAGAACUGUGUAUCACUCUCUACCACUGAAGCUGAGUACAUUGCUGCUGGUUCUUGCUGUGCUCAAUUGCUAUGGAUGAAGCAAACCCUUAAGGACUACGACAUCAACAUGAAUAAUUUGCCACUCUACUGCGACAACGAAAGUGCCAUCAAGAUUGCUCAUAACCCAGUUCAGCACUCGAGGACUAAGCACAUCCAGAUUCGUCAUCAUUUUCUUUGA
RNAcentral lists this ribosomal RNA (342 nucleotides) under Triticum aestivum (bread wheat). RNAcentral describes it as "partial small subunit ribosomal RNA". The record is from RNAcentral. Lineage: Eukaryota; Viridiplantae; Streptophyta; Magnoliopsida; Poales; Poaceae.